GAUAUUGGUCAAUAGCCUAACGGCUGAACCAGCAACUUGGAAGAAUGUAUAGCAAUAGCUAUUUAUGCUAAAAAUAUUUAGUGUAUAAUCGACUCUGUCGAAUWWAAUUCUGGGUAGAAAUAUGAUAAUGACAUUAUCUAUCCAUAAGUCUUGACCAAAUUACGUGCCAGCAGUCGCGGUAAUACGUAAAAGACAAGUGUUAUUCAUCUUUAAUAGGUUUAAAGGGUACUUAGACGGUAAAUAAAGCCUCCAAAAGGUACUAGUUUGCUAGAGUUUUAUGUGAAGGAGUUUUAAAGUACUACUGGUGUAGAGAUGAAAUUCAGUCAUACCUUACAUGGCACAGGUUAAGGCGAAAGCAUCUUCUUAUGUAAAAACUGACGUUGAAGGACGAAGGCUUUGUGUCUCGAACAGGAUUAGAUACCCUAGUAGUCUAAGCAGAAAAUGAUGAAUGUUAUAGAUUAGAUUUAAUUUGAUCUAUAAAUGAAAGUGUAAGCAUUCCACCUCAAGAGUAAUUUGGCAACAUUGGAACUGAAAUCAUUAGACCGUUUCUGAAACCAGUAGUGAAGUAURUUGUUUAAUUUGAUAACCCGCAAAAAACCUUACCACGAUUUGAAUAGAUAUAAUUUAUCAUACAAGCGUUGCACGGCUGUCUUCAGUUAAUGUCGUGAGACUUUGGUUAGUUCCAUUAAAUUAACGUAAACCCUUACGUUAUUYUKAUAUAAAGUAGUUCACCACUAUAUAGGAUGUGAUAACAGGGAUCAAGACAAGUCAUCAUGACCUAA
Molecule: ribosomal RNA, 782 nt
Filed under: Squamulea sp. HW-2022a
Lineage: Eukaryota; Fungi; Ascomycota; Lecanoromycetes; Teloschistales; Teloschistaceae
Description: SSU rRNA
Source: RNAcentral